AGAACGAACGCUGGCGGCAUGCCUAAUACAUGCAAGUCGAACGAACUCUUCGGAGUUAGUGGCGCACGGGUGCGUAACGCGUGGGAAUCUGCCCCUUGGUUCGGAAUAACAGUUGGAAACGACUGCUAAUACCGGAUGAUGACGAAAGUCCAAAGAUUUAUCGCCAAGGGAUGAGCCCGCGUAGGAUUAGCUAGUUGGUGAGGUAAAGGCUCACCAAGGCAACGAUCCUUAGCUGGUCUGAGAGGAUGAUCAGCCACACUGGGACUGAGACACGGCCCAGACUCCUACGGGAGGCAGCAGUAGGGAAUAUUGGACAAGUGGGACGAAAGCCUAG
RNAcentral lists this ribosomal RNA (334 nucleotides) under uncultured soil bacterium. RNAcentral describes it as "bacterial SSU rRNA". It matches the Rfam family "Bacterial small subunit ribosomal RNA", at positions 26 to 386 of the family's 1533-position model. The record is from RNAcentral.